Molecule: long non-coding RNA, 3085 nt
Organism: Pelmatolapia mariae (spotted tilapia)
Lineage: Eukaryota; Metazoa; Chordata; Actinopteri; Cichliformes; Cichlidae
Exons: 2
Source: RefSeq, a predicted model, not a curated record
CCAGGUUGGAUGUAAUGUGUUAGAACUACCAGCAGGUGGGGAUAAGAGACCUUUAAUCUCCUAAGACCCGAACUUUUCCACGGCAUGCAUUUUUAAUUUCUCUUUGAUAUUUGGGCUGAUUAGGACCUGAUGAAUGUAAAAACAAAGAAUUACCAGAUAUUUUUUUAACCUAAUUUUUGUUUCUAAGGAAAAUGAGAGCCACAUAUGAGGAUAUUCAUUUAAAAUUUCGAUAGAACAGUAGCAGUAUAAUGUCCUCGUAAGUGGAUAUCAGGCCCUUGUACAGCAAAAUUGAGUAUUUUGGUCUAAAUAACCCAAAAAGUGAUGUCCACAUAUGUGGACGCCAGGUCCUAGGAGGUUAAGGUGUUUGGUGCCACACUCCACCUUCAGGUUUAAAACUAGUGUUAAUGGAGGGAGUUUGAAGGUUGAGUUUGUUCCACGACUGCAUUUCACUCACUGCCUCUGUUUGUAUCUCUGUCACUGCAGGACCAACAUGGAGCGAGAAGUCAGCGCUCUCAGGAGGCCGACAAACCUCACAGAAGAAAGAGAGAGAAAAAACACACCUGUGACGAGUGUGGGAAGGGUUUUACUUGGAAGUCUGAUCUAAAACAGCAUCAGGUCAUCCACACUGGAGAGAGACCGUUCAGCUGUGACUUGUGUGGAAAGUCUUUUUCCUGGAAGCGUUCCCUAAAAAAACACCAACUCAUCCACAGUGGAGUUAAAGCAUACAGCUGUGAUCAGUGUGGCAGAGCUUUUACUCAAAGUAGCAGUUUACAGAAGCAUCUAGUUACCCACUCUGGAAUUAAGGCAUACAGCUGUGACAUCUGUGGAAAAACUUUCAGCCGGAGAGGGCACCGAAAUACACACCUACGCAUUCACACCAGACAUGAUGUGUACUGCUGUGAACAGUGUGGCAAAUACUUUGCUACAGACACACAGUUACAACAACACAUGUUUACCCACACUGAGGAACGACCUUAUAAAUGUGACCUGUGUGAGAAGACUUUUAAAUCUCCAUAUUACCUGAGAAAACACCAACAGAUCCACACCAGAAAGAGACUCUACAAGUGCAGUUACUGUGAGAAGCAGAGCAACACAGAUGGAUCCAGUUCUCAACCCUGUCAUCACUGUGGUGGUGGGAAAGAGUUUCGUUGUGACCUUUGUGGAAAAACUUUCAGUCAGCAAAAGAACCUAAAAAUACAUCAACGUAAACACACUGGAGACAAACUGAAAUACUGCAAAAAAUGUGGGAGAAGCUUCACCACAUCACGUGACUUAAAACGCCAUGAACUGAUUCACAGUGGGGUUAAAAAGCACCUCUGUGAUCAGUGUGGGUCAUCCUUCACCACUGCAUGCGGGCUUAAAACACACAAACGAGUCCACACAGGAGAGAAACCAUACAAGUGCAGACACUGUGACAGAAGCUUCUCACAAUCAGGUCAUCGUAACAAUCAUGAACAUACACACAUGGAAGAAAACUACAGCUGUGACCAGUGUGACAAGAGCUUCAGGAAUCUCAGAUCAUUCUCCGAACACAAACGAUCCCACGUUACUAAUAAACUGUUUCACUGUUACCAAUGUGCCAAAACAUUCACCUCAUUGUCUGCUCUGUGCAAACAUCAGCGUGAUCACUCAGGACUGAAAUCACUCCCAUCACUGGAUCACAGUGAAUCUGAAGAGACAGAAAGAUCCUCUGGUUUCAGUGUCAGACUCAAAAAGCUUGAGAUCAGGCUCCACAGAGUUCAGAUAGAAUCAUUUAAACUUGUGUUGAACUGAACUGGUUGCUGGGCUGAACUUCUACAUAAUACAGAUUUACAUGGGAUUAGAGCUGGGCGAUAUCAGAUUUUUUCAUAUCACGAUAUGUUUUUUUCAUUUCAGGCGAUAACGAUAUAUAUCACGAUAUAAGCCAAAUAACUAUAUUUGUAAGAUUUAAAUGUGCCGUUGCUCACAAGUAAAAUGUGAAAUAACCAGCAGCUUGUUUUGAUUUAAAUAUUUAUUUCCCAUAAUAAGUUCAACAGGGUAGAUGUACUUUCAGAUAAAUAAAGGCAAAUAUUGCAAACUACACAAAAGGCAGGCGCUAAAGAGUUUAAGUUUCAAAAUAGAACAAACAAAACAGACUACUAAAUUGUCAAUUCCACUUAGAAACAAAAUAUUAAUUCAAAAAAUUAGUUUGUGUUAGUUUGUUUUACAGAAGAACAGACAAAAUUGACUAACUUUUGUCAAUAUCAAAUAAACUGAGAACUAAAGGGAAAUUCUCAAUCUCUCCUUGUUGUAUAGCUUAGCCUUUCAAAUAGUCUUAACAGUUACUUUAGUCUGACAAAAGCCGAAUGACGAAUUAGCGCUUUCAGUCAGAGAUUGAGCAUGCACCGGUUUAUUGUCUUUCCAGACUUGCUUUCGGCACAAUUUACAGUGCGCACUACUCUGUUUUUUGUCAGACUUGAAAUAGCCGAAAUACCUUCACACUACGGAACUUCUAUGGCUCUUCCGUUCGACAAUCUCUCCGGCAUUGGAACCAUCAUCGGUUUUUUCUUCGGUAACCUUCGCUCACGCUCUCGGUUGAUUUUUCUCUAGUCGGCAAACUCAUUUCCUCCAUUAUCUGGGCAGCCCGGCUGCAUAAACAAAUACACAUGUGCGCCUUGGCACUUGUGCUGUACGUAACAAGUCACGUGACGUGACGCUGCGGCUGUGAUUGGUUCGGCUCUGCGCUACUUAAAUUGGAUUGGCUGUUCUUUUUUCUUUUUUUUUAAGAGGACAAGAGGGAUGAGGCCUAUCGCAAUAGUUAAAUUUUUCUAUCGAGAAAAAGUUAUUUCACAAUACAUAUCGUUAUCAUUCUAUCGCCCAGCUCUACAUGGGAUCUUAUUUUCUGUUGUUUUACUGAGUCAGUUUUGUCCUUUUUUCUCUGUCCUGGUUUUGCUCGUCUGUAAAUAAUUGAAACUCAGUCAAAUAGUUCAUUGUUCUCCAGCAAAACGUUUUGGAAACUCAUGUUUAACCUUUAAAACUCUGACAUGUUUUAGCACACAAGGCUUCAUCGGGGAGUUCACUCAUGAUUGGACCAUGAGAAUAAAGGUUUUUAGUUCUUUCAAAGAGA